Molecule: long non-coding RNA, 524 nt
Organism: Neofelis nebulosa (Clouded leopard)
Lineage: Eukaryota; Metazoa; Chordata; Mammalia; Carnivora; Felidae
Exons: 2
Source: RefSeq, a predicted model, not a curated record
UGUGGGGAGUUCUUACUCUUCCAGUCAGGGUUAGGUUGGGCCACCUGUAGUGGGCUGCUGAGAAAAAAGUUGAAUCAGAACUAGCCCUGUCCUUGAGGAACAAACAUGGGACUCUGCCACCAGUGACAUGCACAGGGUAUGAAUGGUGUCUUUGGAGUAUGGAAAACAUAAGUCCAGUUUACUCAGGAAUGAACAGAGAUGUGACAGGAAAUCGUCCUUAAAUAUUUGCUCUGCCUGGUUACACAAUGGAAGGAUAGAUACCACCUGGCUUAGAGGCACCUGUGAGCCUGGGAGCUUCCUGAGGAGGGGCAGGAAGAUCUUGAAGCUGAGUCACCGACCUGAGGCUGGGCGUGGCUGCAGAUCUGGGACCUCUUAUCAGUCUGUAGGGGUGACUGUCUGGCUGCCUGGAGUCCCCAAAGGGGCUAUUCUUGAAGAAGAAUCCUUCCCAUUGUGUCAUGUAACUUUCUUACAACUUACCUGUAAGCUUGAAAUGUUUCAAAAUAAAAAGAGUUUUUUAAAAAACA